This is a long non-coding RNA of Pieris napi, 568 nucleotides long. RefSeq lists it as uncharacterized. The record is from RefSeq and is a predicted model, not a curated record. Lineage: Eukaryota; Metazoa; Arthropoda; Insecta; Lepidoptera; Pieridae. The transcript has 2 exons.
CUGCGUUGAGAAAAUGGCCUCUACAGACUCAACAUAAUAAACAGGAAAAUGUAAUGUUUGACAUUAUCACUUCUGUACUCUAUAGAACAAGUUUACGUAAAAAAUAUACGUACCUGUAGCUAAUAACUUUGGUAAAGCUCAGAUUGUGAACUUUGCAUACAAUUCAUUGUGGGGUCAUUGACCAGAGACGUUAAAGGUACGUCUAUUAGAUUAGUUUCGAAGAUUGAAAGGAUUGACGAAGGCCUCUGCUGGACAUACUUCAGGAAAGGGUCAGAAAAGAUCGAUCCCGCAACCCAUCGGAAACGCUACCAAGUGUGGGUGCCUUUCAAUUUUUCGCCUAAAAGUCACCCUUACGGGGACUCAGGGGCCACGCGUCUAAAAGAAGAAUGCUGAUGCAUCACUGCAAGCACUGGAGCCAACCUCCCCCAGCUCAAUAUUCCAAGGCGGAUGGCGCGAUGUGAUAAUGAUCGUUGCCGAAUCAAGCUAUUAAUUAAAUUAAAUAAAAAGUUUGAAAGGUCAGGGAUUGUGAUUGGAAAGUUAAGGUUAAAUAAAAGACAUUGAUAUUUUA